This 65-nucleotide transfer RNA is filed under the name Ptilodactylidae sp. 2 ACP-2013. RNAcentral describes it as "tRNA-Trp". Lineage: Eukaryota; Metazoa; Arthropoda; Insecta; Coleoptera; Ptilodactylidae. The record is from RNAcentral.
UAAGGAUUUAAGUUAUAAAACUAUCAACCUUCAAAGUUGAAAAUAAAGGCGAUUCUUUAAGCCUU